This 76-nucleotide transfer RNA is filed under the name Rickettsiales bacterium TMED289. RNAcentral describes it as "tRNA-Ala". It matches the Rfam family "tRNA". Rfam says of the family: Transfer RNA (tRNA) molecules are approximately 80 nucleotides in length. The record is from RNAcentral. Lineage: Bacteria; Pseudomonadati; Pseudomonadota; Alphaproteobacteria; Rickettsiales.
GGGGCCGUAGCUCAGUUGGGAGAGCGCGUGGAUGGCAUUCAUGAGGUCGUCGGUUCGAUCCCGUCCGGCUCCACAA